RNAcentral lists this ribosomal RNA (537 nucleotides) under uncultured bacterium. RNAcentral's name for it is "partial 16S ribosomal RNA". It matches the Rfam family "Bacterial small subunit ribosomal RNA", at positions 355 to 902 of the family's 1533-position model. The record is from RNAcentral.
UGGGGAAUAUUGCACAAUGGGCGAAAGCCUGAUGCAGCGACGCCGCGUGAGGGAUGACGGCCUUCGGGUUGUAAACCUCUUUCAGCAGGGAAGAAGCGAAAGUGACGGUACCUGCAGAAGAAGCGCCGGCUAACUACGUGCCAGCAGCCGCGGUAAUACGUAGGGCGCAAGCGUUGUCCGGAAUUAUUGGGCGUAAAGAGCUCGUAGGCGGUUAGUCGCGUCUGCUGUGAAAACUCGAGGCUCAACCUCGGGCCUGCAGUGGGUACGGGCAGACUAGAGUGCGGUAGGGGAGAAUGGAAUUCCUGGUGUAGCGGUGGAAUGCGCAGAUAUCAGGAGGAACACCGAUGGCGAAGGCAGUUCUCUGGGCCGUAACUGACGCUGAGGAGCGAAAGCGUGGGGAGCGAACAGGAUUAGAUACCCUGGUAGUCCACGCCGUAAACGUUGGGCGCUAGAUGUGGGGACCAUUCCACGGUUUCCGUGUCGCAGCUAACGCAUUAAGCGCCCCGCCUGGGGAGUACGGCCGCAAGGCUAAAACUU